CCUACGGGAGACAGCAGUGAGGAAUAUUGGUCAAUGGGCGAGAGCCUGAACCAGCCAAGUCGCGUGAGGGAGUACUGCCCUAUGGGUUGUAAACCUCUUUUGUCGGGGAGCAAAAGCCGGACGUGUCCGGCUGUGAGAGUACCCGAAGAAAAAGCAUCGGCUAACUCCGUGCCAGCAGCCGCGGUAAUACGGAGGAUGCGAGCGUUAUCCGGAUUUAUUGGGUUUAAAGGGUGCGCAGGCGGAUUUUUAAGUCAGCGGUAAAAUCGUGGGGCUCAACCCCAUCCAGCCGUUGAAACUGGGGAUCUAGAGUGUGCGAGAGGUAUGCGGAAUGCGUGGUGUAGCGGUGAAAUGCAUAGAUAUCACGCAGAACCCCGAUUGCGAAGGCAGCAUACCGGUGCACAACUGACGCUCAGGCACGAAAGCGUGGGUAUCGAACAGGAUUAGAUACCCCAGUAGUG
This 458-nucleotide ribosomal RNA is filed under the name uncultured bacterium. Its description in RNAcentral is "partial 16S ribosomal RNA". It matches the Rfam family "Bacterial small subunit ribosomal RNA", at positions 338 to 795 of the family's 1533-position model. The record is from RNAcentral.